CCUACGGGAGGCAGCAGCAGGAAAUAUUGCACAAUGGGCGAAAGCCUGAUGCAGCGACGCCGCGUGCGGGAUGAAGGCCUUCGGGUUGUAAACCGCUUUCAGGAGGGACGAAAAUGACGGUACCUCCAGAAGAAGGCCCGGCCAACUACGUGCCAGCAGCCGCGGUAAU
This 169-nucleotide ribosomal RNA is filed under the name uncultured bacterium. RNAcentral's name for it is "partial 16S ribosomal RNA". It matches the Rfam family "Bacterial small subunit ribosomal RNA", at positions 338 to 524 of the family's 1533-position model. The record is from RNAcentral.